GCACACCCAGCGGCCCCCCCGCGCUCGCAGGCUACCUUAAAAAAAACUUUGUCGGAGCGGGGCUCCUCUCCAGCGCUCGGCCAGGCAGAGAAUCCCUCGGAAAUCCACAAAACGGGGGUCGGCUCCAAAAACUUGGGUGCCCCCCCCACCCCCCCCGCGCACCUCCCCAGGCGCACCCCGCGCGCGGCGGGGCCGGGCCGGGCGCACCCAUGGGUGCCACCGCGCCUCCCCCCGGCUCUCUCCUUCCCCCCUGCGGCGUGGAAAGAAAAAAAAACAAAAACCCCGAGAUCCGAGCAUCCUCGGCUGCCAGGGCGAGACAAAAGCCUCGGGAGAUGGGAGGCGAGGAAAUGUCCACCGGGAGGAGGAGGAGGAGGAGGAAGGCGGCUGCCGGGUGGGCAGCGAGCAGCCGGCGCCUGUCCCCGGCGGGUCCCCAACAGGGAAGGGAUGAGAGCAAAGAGUGCUCCAGCCCUCGUGGCAGCGCUGAGAGCUGCAGAGCCUGCCCCAAAAGCCAUAGGAUGCCGAGGAAAAUGAGUGCUGCUCUCCUGGAGAAAGCAGCUGCCAUCGCAUGGGAAAGCAGCAGGCUCAUGUUCUCCAAAUCCAGACAAUCCUCACCCAGAAAGCUGUCCAGCAACAGAAACUUGUGAGACUGUUUUCAGGAGGGAAAACAGAGCUAUUUUCAGCCCGGGCAGCACUGAGCACCUCCAGGGUGAGCGAUGCUGCGGAGCUGGAAGCUGUGGAAGCUGCACCCCAAAGGAGAUGAUCCCUGAACACUGAAAUUGUCUUCUAUAAACAUAUAUGUAUAAACCUAUGUAUAAAUAUAUAAAAUUAUCCAUCGGGUAUUGCAGACAGUGAUAUCAAACACCUCCAGGAUGCUCUGGCCACUUUUUGUCGGUGGGGUUGGUGAUGGGACGAGCCCUGCCUGGUGCUACCUGGUGCCAGCACCACCCCGUGCCCAGGACCAGCACCAGCACUGCUCUCCAUGGCUGAGCUCCCUCCUGCGUGCCUUUUCCUGCUGCUCAUCCCUCUCUGGUGCCCAAGGUGUAAUUACCCCUCGUGUGUUUUAAGCGCAUCUGCCACCUGGAAACCACGCAGACCCCGUACCCUCGCCUUGCCCCCCUCCACCUGCACGCAGCCCCGGAGCUAGGCGCACAGACGUUUACCCACCGGUGUUUUCUCCCCCCCCCCCUGCUUGCGUCUGAGCUGCUUGACUCAAAUCUGAGCCGUUUCUCAGGGUCUGUCUCACAGCCCAGUCAACACGGAGGGAGCCGGUGCCAAAAACCCAGUUCCUUCGGAUCUGAUUGUUUGUUUUCCUCCCUUCCCAGUUUGGGAUUUUUGAAAGGGAGCCACACGAAACCAACUGCUCGCUGUUCACUGCGAAGCCUGGGGCUGCAUUUCAAUCGUUUGCCCGAGGAUCAGGUGGAUGGAGAGGGAAUUAGCUCCUCACAACAGCCCUGCGCCCGCACACGCUGCCCCUGGGGCCGUCGGCUCCCCUAAAACCACCCCAAACACCACCCCAGCACCUCCACCUCCUGCCCCCUUCAUCCCAUGCUGCUAACACUGCUGCUGUCUCCUUACCCAAAAUAUUAACUCAAGGCAGUCUGAGACGCUUCCCAAAACCCACCCUGUGAUGCUCCUCUGCUCACA
RNAcentral lists this long non-coding RNA (1644 nucleotides) under Anas platyrhynchos platyrhynchos (common mallard). RNAcentral's name for it is "lncRNA (ENSAPLG00000030059.1)". Lineage: Eukaryota; Metazoa; Chordata; Aves; Anseriformes; Anatidae. The record is from RNAcentral.